Manduca sexta (tobacco hornworm) is the source of this 1066-nucleotide long non-coding RNA. RefSeq lists it as uncharacterized. NCBI's taxonomy places the organism in Eukaryota, Metazoa, Arthropoda, Insecta, Lepidoptera, Sphingidae. The transcript is spliced from 2 exons. The record is from RefSeq and is a predicted model, not a curated record.
CGGCCGCACGCUCACAACUUUUGCCUUUAUUGUACACGAAGAGCAAGCAACAGAAGAAUUAUUGGUGUGAUGCAGGCAUUAACAGAGGAAGGGAGAAGAGAUUUAUUGCGAGGAAUGUGACCGUGAAACGCAACUAUUACCACCACUUUUCACCCGUUUUCUGCCAGAUGUACUACUUAUUCGGUCGAGUUGGCUCACUCACUCCGACAAGCUGUCUGCGAUGUAUUUCCGCCAUUUGAAAAGUGGGGUUGAAAUGUGUUAUAUUUCACUGAUAUAUUGACCAUCUUUACGGAUGAUGUUUGAUAAUUUAGUGCUCACAUAUUAUAUAAGAAACAUGCAUGCGAUAUUUCAGGCUUCAAGAGCUAACCGGUUUAAGUCCUGCGCUCUCUGUAAGUGUUGAGAAUAUUAUAUCAGCCCUAUGUUAUAAACUGUUCCACUGCUAGGCACGGGCCUGCUCUAGUAAUGAGAGGGAAUAUUUCUUAGUCCACAAUGCCGCCCUAGUGCAGAUUGGCAGACUUCUCAUUUCCCUAAAAACUCUUAUAGAGAACCUCUCAAGUACGCAGGUUCGUCACGACGUUUUUCUUCACCGCUAAAGUAAACAAUAAUUCUCAAAGAAUAUACACAUAAGAAAAGUCAGAGGUGGGUGCCUUGACUUUUGAACCUGCGGACAUUCGUCCCGGCAGUUUGUCCACUCCCAACUAGGCUAUCGCCGCUACAAGAUGAUUUACUAAGUGAAAUUUCAGAUAAGCUUCAAAUCUAGUUCUAGAUACUUAUUCACCAAUAAGCGUUUCAAUAUCUUUAUAUAUAAUAGAUGCUCUUUAACUAUUUUGGCUAUUCUCAGUUAAAAUAUGUAAUUAUCCAAUACCUUCCUAAGCCUAAAAAGAGACAAAUCCGAACCUGUACUGCACACAAUUUGAAUCGCAUGAACAUAGCUACAGGUAUAUGCGACGGCAGACGUGCGCUACGAUCGAUUUCGUUGAUACUACAAUGUAUUACACAUAGGAGUACGUCCGCCGUAUCCGUCCGGUUAUGAACCUGCGCUUUGAUAUUUCUGCAACCCAAUAAU